Molecule: ribosomal RNA, 244 nt
Filed under: uncultured bacterium
Lineage: Bacteria
Description: partial 16S ribosomal RNA
Rfam family: Bacterial small subunit ribosomal RNA
Source: RNAcentral
GAUGAACGCUAGCUACAGGCUUAACACAUGCAAGUCGCGGGGCAGCAUUUUCUUUAGCUUGCUAAGGAGAUGGCGACCGGCGCACGGGUGAGUAACGCGUAUCCAACCUUCCCUUGUCCACGGGAUAGCCCGUCGAAAGGCGGAUUAAUACCGUAUGAGGUCACAUGCUGGCAUCAAAGUGUGACGAAAGGUUUAGCGGACAGGGAUGGGGAUGCGUCCGAUUAGGUAGUCGGCGGGGUAACGG